UUUUAUGAAAGAGAGAUUUGGGCUUACGAAUCUGUCGAGCCUUUUUGGGUAUGUUGGUCACUUCAGUUUCCCGAAAAUAACACUAUAUGGCCAUGAAAGCGGUGUUUUGGGUGUCGAUUAUUUUUUAGGAAAAUCAUUUUACCAUCUAUUAUAUAGCAUUAUUAUACCUAUAAAGAGAAGGAAAGUUUGAGCUUGGAAGCAUGAAAGAGGAAUAAUUACAUUCCGAUCGCAACAAAAUGACAUUCUUUGUUAUGCUACCGCUCUAGCUUGAUUUCCUCUUUCCAUGUAUGUAUAUAUAUAUUGUUUCCUAUCUUCUGGAGUACAUUACGUUUAGCUAAUGAUUUCAAAUUUCGGGGACGAAAUUUUUUAAGGAGGGUAGAUUGUAACAACUCGUCCCUAAAAAAUUAUGGUUUUUAAUACGUGAAAAGACGGAAAUGCCCUAUGGGCAAAGUGUGAUUUUUCGAGGACGUGUGUGAUUCUCAUAUAUUUUGUCAUGUUUAUUGACAUAUUCGGAUAGAGCUCGAUCUUACGGAUGCGUAGGCACAGGUAGAAGUGAGUUUGGAGUUACGGUUAAAGUUUUAUUGAGUUACGAACCUGAGGGUAUUUGGAAUGAAAUAUUAUUUUAAUUUUUUUUACACUAUGUUUUUAUUAUUAUUAAAACAAAGUGAAAUAUAUGUAUUGGGUGUGUGGGUAUGGCUGGCGGAGAAAGAAGCAGGAAAAGAAAUCAGGGAAAAGGGAAAGAGGGCCACUGCCUAAUUGGAGGAGAGGAAGGAGAUGAGACUAACCAACCAAAGAGGAGAGAAAGGAGGGAAAAGAGGGAAGGGGAGAAG
This 830-nucleotide long non-coding RNA is filed under the name Malus domestica (apple). RNAcentral's name for it is "long non-coding RNA (MDOM_LNC005909)". The record is from RNAcentral. Lineage: Eukaryota; Viridiplantae; Streptophyta; Magnoliopsida; Rosales; Rosaceae.